GUGCCCAGACACGCACUCAAGAACUGUAAGGGUUUCAAAUAUAAGGUACAAGACCUAAUUGAUUCAAAGGCUAACUCGUUCACACCAAAUGGCCCAAACGUAUUGAACAACCUCAUACCUUCACGGGAAGGCACAUAAACCAUACACAAAAAUAUAUAUUUUACCUAAGUUGACUUUUGGUCAACUAUUGACUUUUUGGUCAACCAGUUCACCAAAGUCAACUGACUAUUUUUACCCAUCCUAAACCCUAGUUCCUAUUUCUAUUUUUCCUACAAGUCAUCUUUGAAUCUUCAAGAAUCCAUUUACUUUUAAUGUUUCCUUCACCAUGUUCCCAUUUUUUUCAAGUGCAAGCCACGAUGCAAGUUACUUUGAAGACUUUGUUCAAUCCUCAUGUGUGCAUACCCUACAAAAAAUUUUAAACCAUGCUAGAAUGUAACAUACAUACACAUUAGCAUUCACAUUCCUAAGCAAAUUCAAUAUCACAUUACCAUUCAAUAUUAUACCACUUAGCCAUACUAACUUGAUUCAAAAACUCACAUUCAUUCCAUUCAUUCCAUUCUUAACAUAACUUAACAUAGUAUGAUUUCAGUUCAUUGUAAAGCAUUUAGCAAGCAUCCCGUACUUACACUCACAUACCAAUAAUCAUAAAAAAAACAUAAUUUUAAUUCAAAGCUCACAUAAACUUCAAACCAGCAUAACAAGGUAAAACAACUCAUAGCAUUGCCAAGCCAUUUCAAGCAAACUAACUGCUCAAUUUUUCAAAACCAGCGGUUGCACAUUCGUUGCAUUCACCUAGCAGCCAUAACAUGAUUUCACUAUAAAAUUAAUCAAGCAUCAUUAUAAACAACAUAUAAUUUCAUUUACCAUCAUUCACAACAGGUCAUUAACAUUAUCUAACAUCAUGCAACAAGGCCACACAUACUAACAACAAUGCAUCUCAAAGUCAUUAAAUAACAUUCAUCCAAGAAUCAACAAAACGUCUAAUAACAGAAAACCUUUGGUAGAGCAAAUUCAAAGUUGACACCAAACAAGAAAUUCACUUAGCAGGAGAGCAACUCACUAGUAUCCUUCAUUCAACAUCCACUAACCGAAAUUAGCACAACAUACAUAGCUAACAUUUAACAACAAUAUUUGAUAGCAAAAAUCCAUAUUCAUACCUAAUUGUCUAACUGCACCAACAUUUCACCUAACACCUAACAGAAAAAUUGAAGCCACCUUCACUUCCCUAACUGCUCACAUUUAACAUCAAUCUCAACUAACAUUGACAUCCUAACUAACUAAUAGUUUAUAUAACUAACUUCUCAUACUAAACAAAAAUCGAAAUGCUCAAUCUAACUGUUAACCAAUUUAAUUCCAACUUGCGCAUAGACCUAACCAUUCACUUAACCAUUUUCUAACUGCUAACAAUCUAUAACAAAAAAUCCUAACUGCAUCAACAUUUCACUAACUGUCUAACAGAAUUUUUCAUCCAAACUAACCUAACACAAUUUCUUUCCUCUAACUAACUCUCACUAACAGAGUUAACAAACUCUUAACUAACUAUGCAUUAAUCAGAAUUAAAAGAGUGAAAACUACAAAACCUUCAUUCCCUAUAAAAUCUCACCAUCACCUUCAUUCCCUAUAAAAUCUCACCAUCACCUUCAUUCAUCAACUUUGGAAUCACUCAAUCUUUUCACACUCUCUCGAUCCUAAUCCUUUUUCAGAGCUCUCGAUUCCACUCACAUAACUCUCUCAAUCCACACUUUUCACUAUCAAUCACUCUUAAAUUUGACAAACGCAAUACAACAGAAUCUCAAUAGAAGGAGUAGAAGGAGAAGAACGAGAAGAACAUUAGAAUAAGCUUCAAACAAGAAGACUCAUCUAAAGCUCAUCGUCUUCGUCUUUUCCGGUGGCAUAAGCCUUCGAUUCCACCAUUUCGCUUUAAUUUAGUUACGAAAAUGUGAACUGAGGUAUAUGGAAUCAAGGCCCCAACAAAUUUGGCUUUAAUUCCAUGAGAUAGUGAUUUAAUUUCAAUUUUUGUGUCUGGGGUUCUUUGACAAUUUGAUUUGGUUAGGGCUUUAAGAUAGAAAUUCCGUGAAAUUGUUUGUGGUUUUGAAUAGGGGUGGCAAUAAAAUCCGUUAAAGAGAUAUCCUUCCGAUAGUUAAUUCAUUCAAUUCAUCCGGCAAAUAAAAAAAUAAUUAAUGAAUUUGAUCCAAUCCAUCCAUCAAACCAUAUGGAUGGAUUCA
Molecule: long non-coding RNA, 2225 nt
Filed under: Lathyrus oleraceus (garden pea)
Lineage: Eukaryota; Viridiplantae; Streptophyta; Magnoliopsida; Fabales; Fabaceae
Description: Pisum sativum (pea) long non-coding RNA (PSAT_LNC017477)
Source: RNAcentral